The sequence is a non-coding RNA, 371 nucleotides long. It matches the Rfam family "Bacterial RNase P class B". Rfam says of the family: Ribonuclease P (RNase P) is a ubiquitous endoribonuclease, found in archaea, bacteria and eukarya as well as chloroplasts and mitochondria. Its best characterised activity is the generation of mature 5'-ends of tRNAs by cleaving the 5'-leader elements of precursor-tRNAs. The record is from Rfam.
AGCUUUGGGUAAUCGAGCGUAGCAAAUGUUACGUUAGGAAGGUCCAUGCUCGCACAGGCUGCGAUGCCUGUAGUGUUUGUGCCCGCUGAAAAAAUAAGGCGGGGCACCCAUUUGGGUGACGGCGGAAAAACCGGCUAAGGCUUUGGCUAUGCCCUAGUAUUCCUGAAAAGUGCCACAGUGACGAUGUAGUAGGGGAAACCUUACUAGUGGAACGCGGUAAACCCCUCAAGCGGUAAACCCAAACAUUGGUAGGGGAGCUUUGGAUAACAAAUUGAAGUGAUUCCAGGGGAGUAUCUUUGAUACUGAGAUAGAUGAUUACCACGGUAUGAUUGGACCUGCAAUGAUACUUUGACAAAACAUGGCCUACAGAA